UAGUGACUGUUUUGGUUUCUAACCAACACCUUUCCCCUGUAAAGGUGUACUUUGCAGUCAGGUGGAUCCAGAUGACUAUGGCAGUGCUGAGCAUUGUCGGUUCAGGUUCCAUAAUUGUUUAUGCAACUUUCCAACACCUUAUAAGGACACCUGAGAUCCAGCCAUUGUUCUUACUGAGUGUGACAGACUUGCUGCUGGCAGU
This is a long non-coding RNA of Oncorhynchus kisutch (coho salmon), 202 nucleotides long. RefSeq lists it as uncharacterized. The record is from RefSeq and is a predicted model, not a curated record. The transcript is spliced from 3 exons. NCBI's taxonomy places the organism in Eukaryota, Metazoa, Chordata, Actinopteri, Salmoniformes, Salmonidae.